Molecule: ribosomal RNA, 654 nt
Filed under: Salmonella enterica
Lineage: Bacteria; Pseudomonadati; Pseudomonadota; Gammaproteobacteria; Enterobacterales; Enterobacteriaceae
Also listed under: 2 other names
Description: partial 23S ribosomal RNA
Rfam family: Bacterial large subunit ribosomal RNA
Source: RNAcentral
GGGUUGUGAGGUUAAGCGACUAAGCGUACACGGUGGAUGCCCUGGCAGUCAGAGGCGAUGAAGGACGUGCUAAUCUGCGAUAAGCGCCGGUAAGGUGAUAUGAACCGUUAUAACCGGCGAUUUCCGAAUGGGGAAACCCAGUGUGAUUCGUCACACUAUCAUUAACUGAAUCCAUAGGUUAAUGAGGCGAACCGGGGGAACUGAAACAUCUAAGUACCCCGAGGAAAAGAAAUCAACCGAGAUUCCCCCAGUAGCGGCGAGCGAACGGGGAGGAGCCCAGAGCCUGAAUCAGCAUGUGUGUUAGUGGAAGCGUCUGGAAAGGCGCGCGAUACAGGGUGACAGCCCCGUACACAAAAGCGCAUGUGCUGUGAGCUCGAUGAGUAGGGCGGGACACGUGGUAUCCUGUCUGAAUAUGGGGGGACCAUCCUCCAAGGCUAAAUACUCCUGACUGACCGAUAGUGAACCAGUACCGUGAGGGAAAGGCGAAAAGAACCCCGGCGAGGGGAGUGAAAAAGAACCUGAAACCGUGUACGUACAAGCAGUGGGAGCACCCUUCGGGGUGUGACUGCGUACCUUUUGUAUAAUGGGUCAGCGACUUAUAUUCUGUAGCAAGGUUAACCGUAUAGGGGAGCCGGAGGGAAACCGAGUCUUAAU